This 497-nucleotide ribosomal RNA is filed under the name uncultured bacterium. RNAcentral's name for it is "partial 16S ribosomal RNA". It matches the Rfam family "Bacterial small subunit ribosomal RNA", at positions 28 to 507 of the family's 1533-position model. The record is from RNAcentral.
GAUGAACGCUGGCGGCGUGCCUAAUACAUGCAAGUCGAGCGAACAGACGAGGAGCUUGCUCCUCUGACGUUAGCGGCGGACGGGUGAGUAACACGUGGAUAACCUACCUAUAAGACUGGGAUAACUUCGGGAAACCGGAGCUAAUACCGGAUAAUAUAUUGAACCGCAUGGUUCAAUAGUGAAAGACGGUUUUGCUGUCACUUAUAGAUGGAUCCGCGCCGUAUUAGCUAGUUGGUAAGUUAACGGCUUACCAAGGCAACGAUGCGUAGACGACCUGAGAGGGGGAUCGGCGACACUGGAACUGAGACACGGUCAAGACUCCUACGGGAGGCAGCAGUAGGGAAUCUUCCGCAAUGGGCGAAAGCCUGACGGAGCAACGCCGCGUGAGUGAUGAAGGUCUUCGGAUCGUAAAACUCUGUUAUUAGGGAAGAACAAAUGUGUAAGUAACUAUGCACGUCUUGACGGUACCUAAUCAGAAAGCCACGGCUAACUACGUG